ACAAUGCGGAGGAUCAUUA
This 19-nucleotide ribosomal RNA is filed under the name Descomyces sp. TRAPPE14129. RNAcentral's name for it is "partial 18S ribosomal RNA". The record is from RNAcentral. Lineage: Eukaryota; Fungi; Basidiomycota; Agaricomycetes; Agaricales; Bolbitiaceae.